AGUGAACGCUGGCGGUAGGCCUAACACAUGCAAGUCGAACGGCAGCACACGAGAGCUUGCUCUCUGGGUGGCGAGUGGCGGACGGGUGAGGAAUGCAUCGGAAUCUACUCUGUCGUGGGGGAUAACGUAGGGAAACUUACGCUAAUACCGCAUACGACCUACGGAUGAAAGCAGGGGAUCUUCGGACCUUGCGCGAUUGAAUGAGCCGAUGUCGGAUUAGCUAGUUGGCGGGGUAAAGGCCCACCAAGGCGACGAUCCGUAGCUGGUCUGAGAGGAGGAUAAGCAACACUGGAACUGAGAAACGCUCCAGACGCCUACGGGAGGCAGCAGGGGGGAAUAUUGGACAAGGGGCGCAAGCCUGAUCCAGCUGUACCGCGGGGGUGAAGAAGGCCUUCGGGUUGUAAAGCCCUUUUGUUGGGAAAGAAAUCCAGCUGGCUAAUACCCGGUUGGGAUGACGGUACCCAAAGAAUAAGCACCGGCUAACUUCGUGCCAGCCGCCGCCGUAA
RNAcentral lists this ribosomal RNA (506 nucleotides) under uncultured bacterium. Its description in RNAcentral is "partial 16S ribosomal RNA". It matches the Rfam family "Bacterial small subunit ribosomal RNA", at positions 29 to 523 of the family's 1533-position model. The record is from RNAcentral.